AGUGAACGCUGGCGGCGUGCUUAACACAUGCAAGUCGAACGAGAACGGAAUAUAGCUUGCUAUAUUUGUCAGCUAAGUGGCGCACGGGUGAGUAAUAUAUAGAUAACCUGCCCUUAAGAAAGGAAUGACAGUUGGAAACGACUGCUAAUGCCCUAUAUGCCUUUAAUACAUAAGUAUGCAAGGGAAACGCUUUAGUGCUUAAGGAUGGGUCUGUAUGGUAUCAGCUUGUUGGUGAGGUAAUGGCUCACCAAGGCUAUGACGCCUAACUGGUUUGAGAGGAUGAUCAGUCACACUGGAACUGAGACACGGUCCAGACUCCUACGGGAGGCAGCAGUGGGGAAUAUUGCACAAUGGACGAAAGUCUGAUGCAGCAGCGCCGCGUGGAGGAUGACACAUUUCGGUGCGUAAACUCCUUUUAUAUAGGAAGAUAAUGACGGUACUAUAUGAAUAAGCACCGGCUAACUCCGUGCCAGCCGCCGCAGUAA
This 485-nucleotide ribosomal RNA is filed under the name uncultured bacterium. RNAcentral's name for it is "partial 16S ribosomal RNA". It matches the Rfam family "Bacterial small subunit ribosomal RNA", at positions 29 to 523 of the family's 1533-position model. The record is from RNAcentral.